AAAUGGGUGCAUAAGAAU
This 18-nucleotide small nuclear RNA is filed under the name Arabidopsis thaliana (thale cress). RNAcentral's name for it is "snRNA_18709". Lineage: Eukaryota; Viridiplantae; Streptophyta; Magnoliopsida; Brassicales; Brassicaceae. The record is from RNAcentral.